CCAAACGAGCCUAGUGAUAGCUGGUUAUUCAAGAAAAGAAUUUUAGUUCUCCCUAAAGUCCAACAAAUCACCAAUUAUAACCCACAUACUUUAGAGCUACUCAAAUAAGGUACAGCUUAUUUGAAACAGGGUACAACCUACACCAAUGGGUAAUUACAAUUUUAUUGCAAAUCCGUCGGCCUAGAAGCAGCCACCAGGUAAAUGCGUUAAAGCUUUUUUGCUAUAUUACACCCCUCAAUACCAUUUUUUCUCCACAACCCUUCACCACUAUUGAAUAAUUCUAUACUAUAUAGAACCUAUAAUGUUAAAACUAGUAAAAAGAAUAUUUUUCUCUUAAAUGUAACCCAAAUCAUUUUUAUCACGCCACUAAAAUUAUAAUAACAACUAUAUCCCCUCCCCCUCCCAUUUAAAAACUUUAUUUUUAACCAACGUUUUCUAACCCAAGAACACUCCAAGCAAGACAAAACAAAAAAAAAGGAACUCGGCAAAUAUAGAUAUCGCCUGUUUACCAAAAACAUCGCCUCUUGACUUCUAUAAGAGGUCCAGCCUGCCCAGUGAAUUUUUAACGGCCGCGGUAUUCUAACCGUGCAAAGGUAGCGUAAGCACUUGUUCUUUAAUUAAGGACCGGUAUGAAUGGCACCACGAAUAUCUAACUGUCUCUUUUCUUCAAUCAUUGAAACUAAUCUCCCCGUGAAAAAGCGGGGAUAUAUCUAUAAGACGAGAAGACCCUAUGGAGCUUUAAACCAAAUAGCAAUUAUUUUAAUUCUGCUACGAGGUUUUUGGUCGGGGCAGCCGCGGAGAACAACUUAUCCUCCAAAUUGUACCUAGAAUCUUCUUUAACCAUAAGCCACAUCUUUACGUAUCAAUAAAUUGACAUUAAUUGACCCAGUUUCUGAUCAACGAAACAAGUUACCCUAGGGAUAACAGCGCAAUCUUCUUCGAGAGUUCAUAUCGACAAGCGGGUUUACGACCUCGAUGUUGGAUCAGGCUA
Molecule: ribosomal RNA, 991 nt
Filed under: Barycholos ternetzi (Savage's Goias frog)
Lineage: Eukaryota; Metazoa; Chordata; Amphibia; Anura; Craugastoridae
Description: partial 16S ribosomal RNA
Rfam family: Bacterial large subunit ribosomal RNA
Source: RNAcentral